This 253-nucleotide ribosomal RNA is filed under the name uncultured bacterium. Its description in RNAcentral is "partial 16S ribosomal RNA". It matches the Rfam family "Bacterial small subunit ribosomal RNA", at positions 524 to 776 of the family's 1533-position model. The record is from RNAcentral.
UACAGGGGGGGCAAGCGUUGUUCGGAAUUACUGGGCGUAAAGGGUUUGUAGGUGGCUUGCUCAGUCAGACGUGAAAUCCCUCAGCUUAACUGGGGAACUGCGUCUGAUACUGGCGAGCUUGAGUGCAGGAGAGGAACGCGGAAUUCCAGGUGUAGCGGUGAAAUGCGUAGAUAUCGGCAGGAACUCCGGUGGCGAAGGCGAGAUGCUGGAUCCUUUCUGACGCUGAGGCGCGAAAGCCAGGGGAGCAAACGGG